RNAcentral lists this long non-coding RNA (1478 nucleotides) under Ananas comosus (pineapple). RNAcentral describes it as "long non-coding RNA (ACOM_LNC025137)". Lineage: Eukaryota; Viridiplantae; Streptophyta; Magnoliopsida; Poales; Bromeliaceae. The record is from RNAcentral.
AAAAAAAAAAAAGCGUUGUAAAUAUCUGGAAAAAUUAAACAAAGAAUUGAAACUUACACUCUAGGAUACCGUUUGGUUCGGAUAUAAGCAAGAACUAGCUAUUACAGGGAUAGGUACAAGUAUGGGGAUAAGAAAAAUAGUAUUUGGAUGAAAAUUGAGUUGUUUAAGAAUAAUUUUAGAUGGUUUUAUAUAGAAAAUAGAGGUGUUGGCGGAGAUAACCGAGAACUAUUAUUCUCGGGUAAAAAAUUAGCGUUUGGAUAUAAAAGAGGGAUAAGGGCUUAUUUCUAUCCCUAUCCCCUAACCAAACGCUGCCCGAGCAUUUGGCUUAGAUAUAAGAAGCUAGAAUAAAUUCUUAUUCCCCUAUUGUUUCCAGAAAAAUAUUUUUAACACAAGAACGGUAAAUUUUGUACCCUUGAAAAAAGAUGGUAUAAUCUGGUAUAACUUUGGAACAGCUGUUCCGCCCUCUCUCCCUGAAACGAGCUUGUUCUCAAGCGGGAAUAAGAUUAAUAAAAAUCUAAUCUAAUUUUAAUUAUAGUAUUAAAUUAUUAUUAAUCUAAUUAAUAUAUUAAGUCAUUAUCUAUUGCUUAAAUAUUGCUUAAAUAGUAAAGUAAUUAAUUAAUUUAUUAUUUAUCAUAAAUUAACUAAUUAAAAUUAAUAUUCUAAUCAAUUUAUUCAAUAACCAAUAUAUUUAUAUUAAACAACCAUUAAUAUUUAUUUUUAACUGAUUAUCUAAAUAAAAUAAUUUACUAACUAAUUAAAAAGUUAUGUUAUUUCUAUAAUUAACAAAUUAAUUAGUUAAUGUAUUGAAUUAUUAAUUUAUUGAUUGAUUAUAAUAUUCAUAGCUAAUAAAUUUAUUAAUUUAUUUAAUUAUUUUUAAUUAAUAUUUUGAUAUUAAUUAAUUAGAUAAACUAUUUUUAAUUUAAAUUUAUAACUCUUAUUCCCCUGCGCUAAUCUAACCAUCUAAAUAUUAUUUACUUUAUUCCGAAAAUAAUCUAAUUUUCAUUCAAAUAUAAAAUUAAUCUAAUUUCUGCUUAUAUCUUAACUUGUAUCUAUACCAUUAAAUUAAUGAGGGUUUGGAAAUUAAAACAUACUGUGUAGAACUCUAAAAUUCAUGGCAGCCAAAUAUAUCUAUUUUCAGCAUACUGUGAAUUGAGCUGCAAUUAAUACUUUUAAAAAUAUCCAGUCAGUCAUUAGUGCUUGUAGGCUUUUUUGGCACUUAAAUGAAAAAAUGUGCUAUUUUGAUAAUAGUUAUCCCCUAGUGUUGACUGAGUGGAUGGUGAAAUAGUAUAAUCUAACAGUGAGAAAUUUAUAAGCACCAAGUGUUUAAUAAUUUUAAAAGCACCGUAGUCGGACCCGCAAACUAUUUCUAAUAUUUGUAUCUAGCAUAUUAUAUUACAUAAUUCAUCAAAAAAUAAUUUAAAUAAUUUUAAACAUAUGAUAAUUGAAUAAUCUAAAUUUUAAAGUUUUCAAAACAUUAA